RNAcentral lists this ribosomal RNA (481 nucleotides) under uncultured bacterium. RNAcentral's name for it is "partial 16S ribosomal RNA". It matches the Rfam family "Bacterial small subunit ribosomal RNA", at positions 28 to 523 of the family's 1533-position model. The record is from RNAcentral.
GACGAACGCUGGCGGCGUGCCUAACACAUGCAAGUCGAACGGAGAUAUGAUUUCGGUUAUAUCUUAGUGGCGAACGGGUGAGUAACGCGUGAGCAACCUGACUCUUAGAGGGGGAUAACACCCGGAAACGAGUGCUAAUACCGCAUAAGACCACGACAUGGCAUCAUGACGAGGUCAAAGGAGCAAUCCGCUGAGAGAGGGGCUCGCGUCCCAUUAGAUAGAUGGCGGGGUAACGGCCCACCAUGUCAGCGAUGGGUAGCCGAGCUGAGAGGCUGAUCGGCCACACUGGAACUGAGACACGGUCCAGACUCCUACGGGAGGCAGCAGUGGGGAAUAUUGGGCAAUGGGCGCAAGCCUGACCCAGCAACGCCGCGUGAGGGAAGAAGGCUUUCGGGUUGUAAACCUCUGUCCUUGGUGACGAAACAAAUGACGGUAGCCAAGGAGGAAGCCCCGGCUAACUACGUGCCAGCCGCCGCCGUAA